RNAcentral lists this transfer RNA (75 nucleotides) under Candidatus Jorgensenbacteria bacterium. RNAcentral's name for it is "tRNA-Ile". It matches the Rfam family "tRNA". Rfam says of the family: Transfer RNA (tRNA) molecules are approximately 80 nucleotides in length. Their secondary structure includes four short double-helical elements and three loops (D, anti-codon, and T loops). RNAcentral also lists the same sequence under 1 other name. Lineage: Bacteria; Candidatus Joergenseniibacteriota. The record is from RNAcentral.
GGGCGCGUAGUUCAGUGGUAGAACGCUGUCCUGAUAAGACAGAGGCCGGAGGUUCGAUCCCUCCCGCGCCCACCA